GAAGCUCUCCUCACAUGGUGGAUUGUUAGUUUAGGUUGAGUUUUCUCCCUUUGAUAACAAAAGACCUUAAGGCUUUUAAUCAAAUCAAUUCACCAAUCUUUGAGAUUUUUAACCCGAACUAUGAGGUUUUGAUCCUACCUUUACGAUGGUACAUAGGUAAUGGGUUCAUCCAUUCAAACAACAAAAUUUGUAAAUAUAAUCUAUUCUCUUC
Molecule: long non-coding RNA, 211 nt
Filed under: Lathyrus oleraceus (garden pea)
Lineage: Eukaryota; Viridiplantae; Streptophyta; Magnoliopsida; Fabales; Fabaceae
Description: Pisum sativum (pea) long non-coding RNA (PSAT_LNC009187)
Source: RNAcentral